Long non-coding RNA from Myripristis murdjan (pinecone soldierfish), 738 nucleotides. RefSeq lists it as uncharacterized. NCBI's taxonomy places the organism in Eukaryota, Metazoa, Chordata, Actinopteri, Holocentriformes, Holocentridae. The transcript has 4 exons. The record is from RefSeq and is a predicted model, not a curated record.
AAGAAGAAGAGGCAACCAUGAACGUCCAGACCACAGUGAUGUUGGUCUUCACGGCUCUGCUGCUCAGCGCCAGUGUGGCAUCAGGCGCAGAUCGGAUUUCCCUUUGUGAACUGAUGGGAGGGAGAUGUUUACCUUCCACUUUGUGCAGGGGGACCUCGGCGUACGGAUGCCCCAGUAUGUUUGUGUGCUGUCACGAUAUCUUGUCUUGAUCACCUGGUUCUGUCCAACACGAUCCACCCAGGCCGACGCUCACAGAUCUGCAGAAACCAACAACACAAUCACAGACACCGAAACCCACAAGAACGAAACGGCUAUUUUCCCAUGCAGAAACUCAAAUUUCAUUUUUUGUCUAAGAGAUAUGCACUCAUGAUGAAAUGUUAAAGGAAUACUCCGACAUUCUGGGGCAAAAUCCCCUUUUCCCAACGUCCUCAGACUGAGACCAGAUGCUGGACACCAUUUCCACCUGUACGUCCAGUGGUUCUGUUCCUAUGGUUAGCAUUUUCUGUUAGCUUAGCAUAAAGACUUGAAGUCUAUGGGAGUUGUUAGCCUGAAGAUGGUGUCCAACAUCUGCUCUCAGUCUGGGGAAGUCUGGAAAAAGGGGAUUUUUCCCAAAAUGUCGGAGUAUUCCUGUAAGUGUUGACUGCAGGGCUGGACUGGCAGACAUAAAUCUGUAUGAUUAUUAGUUAUCUCUUGUGUGUGAGAGCUGCUUUUAACCAGGAAAACAGACAGGAGUGGAAA